GAUGAACGCUGGCGGCGUGCUUAACACAUGCAAGUCGAACGGAAAGGCUCCUGCUUGCCGGGGUACUCGAGUGGCGAACGGGUGAGUGACACGUGGGUGAUCUGCCCUGCACUUCGGGAUAAGCCUGGGAAACUGGGUCUAAUACCGGAUAGGACCACAUUUUGGAUGGUGUGGUGGAAAGUUUUUCGGUGUGGGAUGAGCUCGCGGCCUAUCAGCUUGUUGGUGGGGUAAUGGCCUACCAAGGCGUCGACGGGUAGCCGGCCUGAGAGGGUGUACGGCCACAUUGGGACUGAGAUACGGCCCAGACUCCUACGGGAGGCAGCAGUGGGGAAUAUUGCACAAUGGGCGCAAGCCUGAUGCAGCGACGCCGCGUGGGGGAUGACGGCCUUCGGGUUGUAAACUCCUUUCGCUAGGGACGAAGCGUUUUUGUGACGGUACCUGGAGAAGAAGCACCGGCUAACUACGUG
Molecule: ribosomal RNA, 467 nt
Filed under: uncultured bacterium
Lineage: Bacteria
Description: partial 16S ribosomal RNA
Rfam family: Bacterial small subunit ribosomal RNA
Source: RNAcentral